AGGGCUGCACCCACAACAUAUGGAAAUUCCCAGCCUUGGGUUUGAAUCAGAGCUGCAGCUGCCAGCCUAUGCCAUGGCAAUGCAGGAUCUGAGCCACGUCUGUGACGUACACCAAAGCUCACAGUAACACCAGAUCAUUAACCCACCGAGUGGGGCCUGGGACCAAACUCGAAUCCUCAUGGAUACUAGUCAGAUUCCUUACCACUGAACCUCAGUGAGCACUCCCAAGAUGAUCUCAUAGUAAUGAAUUAUAUCUACAAUAACCCCAUUCCUUAAUGUGAUUAUAUUCAGAGGUUCUGGGGGUUAGUGAUUUAACAUAUCUUCAGAGAGUUUUAAGGCUGUAACCCACAGAUCUUGUCAACCAAACAUAGGACUUUUAGGAUACCUCCAACAUUGUCCCCCAAUGUCUCAGCAGGGGUCCAAGCCUAAAAAAAGGCUUAUCUUGAAGAGAUUAUGAGUUGCCUUUGUUUGUUUGUUUGUUUGUUUGUUUAACAGCACACACCAUAAUGGAAGUCACAGGAGACCCACAAGGUUUUUAAGAGAAUGGUAUUGGCAGAAAUAUUGCCAAUUUAGAUUGAAAGGUCAGAGAAAAUAAAAAAUGAAAGAGACAUUGUAUUGUCUCUUGACAGUAAAGUUGGACACCCAAACCUCUACUCUCCGUGAAGCAGACAGAGAACAUUUUUCAGCCACAAAUAUGUGCUACCUUUUGUGAUAAAAGAAGGAUGGAGUAGCAAAUGGAAAAAAAGAAUGCAAAAAGUGGCACUGACAGACAGACAAUUAUUCCUAUAUAUUGAGACACAACCAAAGAACUUCACAUAUUUGUCUGGCUGGAUAUUAGAACUGCUAUGGAUCAAUCACUCCUGUGUGCCUAUGACCUUAUACUUUUUUCAACAAAAAUGUCUAUUGUGCUUAUUCUAUAUCCCACCAUUGUUAUGUUGAGUGUGUGGGAAGCAAAUAACCUGUCUUUUUAGUUUCUCAGAUCUAUAUUUCUAUAGAAGCUGUACUCAGAGAACUGGAAAUGUCCACUUACGAACCUGACUUAUGUAAUAAUAUUCUGCACUUGGAGAUAAUGUUUUAAUGUGAUUACAUGUUUGGGGACUUUGGGAAGGUGAAUGUAUUCUGCAUGAAGAAGUGAUGUGAAUUACUGCAGGGCAGAGUGAAAUGCACUAGGCAGCCCCUAGCAGUGACCCUACAUCUUUAAGUUCAUGCUUUCGUGUAAUCCCUCUGCUUGAGUCUGGACUAUACCUAGUAACUAAUUUCUAAUGAAUAUAAUACAGCAAAAUUAACACAUGACAUUUUUGAGAUUAAGUCACUAAAAAACAAAACCAAAAACAAAAACUGUGAACCCUGUCUUGAGUUCCCGUUGUGGCGCAGUGGUUAACGAAUCCGACUAGGAACCAUGAGGUUGUGGGUUCGGUCCCUGCCCUUGCUCAGUGGGUUAACGAUCCGGCAUUGCCAUGAGCUGUGGUGUAGGUUGCAGACGAGGCUCGGAUCCCGAGUUGCUGUGGCUCUGGCGUAGGCCGGAGAAUACAGCUCCGAUUAGACCCCUAGCCUGGGAACCUCCAUGUGCCGUGGGAGCGGCCCAAGAAAUGGCAAAAAGACAAAAAAAAAAAAAAAAAAAAAAAAAAAA
Molecule: long non-coding RNA, 1630 nt
Filed under: Sus scrofa (pig)
Lineage: Eukaryota; Metazoa; Chordata; Mammalia; Artiodactyla; Suidae
Description: lncRNA (ENSSSCG00000055383.1)
Source: RNAcentral